Molecule: ribosomal RNA, 165 nt
Filed under: uncultured bacterium
Lineage: Bacteria
Description: partial 16S ribosomal RNA
Rfam family: Bacterial small subunit ribosomal RNA
Source: RNAcentral
UAGUAAUCGUAGGUCAGCAUACUACGGUGAAUACGUUCCCGGGCCUUGUACACACCGCCCGUCAAACCAUGAGAGUUGGCAACACCCGAAGUCGGUAGUCUAACCGCAAGGAGGACGCCGCCGAAGGUGGGGUUGAUGAUUAGGGUUAAGUCGUAACAAGGUAAC